GGUAAGGUGAUAUGAACCGUUAUAACCGGCGAUUUCCGAAUGGGGAAACCCAGUGUGAUUCGUCACACUAUCAUUAACUGAAUCCAUAGGUUAAUGAGGCGAACCGGGGGAACUGAAACAUCUAAGUACCCCGAGGAAAAGAAAUCAACCGAGAUUCCCCCAGUAGCGGCGAGCGAACGGGGAGCAGCCCAGAGCCUGAAUCAGUGUGUGUGUUAGUGGAAGCGUCUGGAAAGGCGCGCGAUACAGGGUGACAGCCCCGUACACAAAAAUGCACAUGCUGUGAGCUCGAUGAGUAGGGCGGGACACGUGGUAUCCUGUCUGAAUAUGGGGGGACCAUCCUCCAAGGCUAAAUACUCCUGACUGACCGAUAGUGAACCAGUACCGUGAGGGAAAGGCGAAAAGAACCCCGGCGAGGGGAGUGAAAAAGAACCUGAAACCGUGUACGUACAAGCAGUGGGAGCACGCUUAGGCGUGUGACUGCGUACCUUUUGUAUAAUGGGUCAGCGACUUAUAUUCUGUAGCAAGGUUAACCGAAUAGGGGAGCCGAAGGGAAACCGAGUCUUAACUGGGCGUUAAGUUGCAGGGUAUAGACCCGAAACCCGGUGAUCUAGCCAUGGGCAGGUUGAAGGUUGGGUAACACUAACUGGAGGACCGAACCGACUAAUGUUGAAAAAUUAGCGGAUGACUUGUGGCUGGGGGUGAAAGGCCAAUCAAACCGGGAGAUAGCUGGUUCUCCCCGAAAGCUAUUUAGGUAGCGCCUCGUGAAUUCAUCUCCGGGGGUAGAGCACUGUUUCGGCAAGGGGGUCAUCCCGACUUACCAACCCGAUGCAAACUGCGAAUACCGGAGAAUGUUAUCACGGGAGACACACGGCGGGUGCUAACGUCCGUCGUGAAGAGGGAAACAACCCAGACCGCCAGCUAAGGUCCCAAAGUCAUGGUUAAGUGGGAAACGAUGUGGGAAGGCCCAGACAGCCAGGAUGUUGGCUUAGAAGCAGCCAUCAUUUAAAGAAAGCGUAAUAGCUCACUGGUCGAGUCGGCCUGCGCGGAAGAUGUAACGGGGCUAAACCAUGCACCGAAGCUGCGGCAGCGACGCUUAUGCGUUGUUGGGUAGGGGAGCGUUCUGUAAGCCUGUGAAGGUGUACUGUGAGGUAUGCUGGAGGUAUCAGAAGUGCGAAUGCUGACAUAAGUAACGAUAAAGCGGGUGAAAAGCCCGCUCGCCGGAAGACCAAGGGUUCCUGUCCAACGUUAAUCGGGGCAGGGUGAGUCGACCCCUAAGGCGAGGCCGAAAGGCGUAGUCGAUGGGAAACAGGUUAAUAUUCCUGUACUUGGUGUUACUGCGAAGGGGGGACGGAGAAGGCUAUGUUGGCCGGGCGACGGUUGUCCCGGUUUAAGCGUGUAGGCUGGUUUUCCAGGCAAAUCCGGAAAAUCAAGGCUGAGGCGUGAUGACGAGGCACUACGGUGCUGAAGCAACAAAUGCCCUGCUUCCAGGAAAAGCCUCUAAGCAUCAGGUAACAUCAAAUCGUACCCCAAACCGACACAGGUGGUCAGGUAGAGAAUACCAAGGCGCUUGAGAGAACUCGGGUGAAGGAACUAGGCAAAAUGGUGCCGUAACUUCGGGAGAAGGCACGCUGAUAUGUAGGUGAAGUCCCUCGCGGAUGGAGCUGAAAUCAGUCGAAGAUACCAGCUGGCUGCAACUGUUUAUUAAAAACACAGCACUGUGCAAACACGAAAGUGGACGUAUACGGUGUGACGCCUGCCCGGUGCCGGAAGGUUAAUUGAUGGGGUUAGCGCAAGCGAAGCUCUUGAUCGAAGCCCCGGUAAACGGCGGCCGUAACUAUAACGGUCCUAAGGUAGCGAAAUUCCUUGUCGGGUAAGUUCCGACCUGCACGAAUGGCGUAAUGAUGGCCAGGCUGUCUCCACCCGAGACUCAGUGAAAUUGAACUCGCUGUGAAGAUGCAGUGUACCCGCGGCAAGACGGAAAGACCCCGUGAACCUUUACUAUAGCUUGACACUGAACAUUGAGCCUUGAUGUGUAGGAUAGGUGGGAGGCUUUGAAGUGUGGACGCCAGUCUGCAUGGAGCCGACCUUGAAAUACCACCCUUUAAUGUUUGAUGUUCUAACGUGGACCCGUAAUCCGGGUUGCGGACAGUGUCUGGUGGGUAGUUUGACUGGGGCGGUCUCCUCCUAAAGAGUAACGGAGGAGCACGAAGGUUGGCUAAUCCUGGUCGGACAUCAGGAGGUUAGUGCAAUGGCAUAAGCCAGCUUGACUGCGAGCGUGACGGCGCGAGCAGGUGCGAAAGCAGGUCAUAGUGAUCCGGUGGUUCUGAAUGGAAGGGCCAUCGCUCAACGGAUAAAAGGUACUCCGGGGAUAACAGGCUGAUACCGCCCAAGAGUUCAUAUCGACGGCGGUGUUUGGCACCUCGAUGUCGGCUCAUCACAUCCUGGGGCUGAAGUAGGUCCCAAGGGUAUGGCUGUUCGCCAUUUAAAGUGGUACGCGAGCUGGGUUUAGAACGUCGUGAGACAGUUCGGUCCCUA
Molecule: ribosomal RNA, 2535 nt
Filed under: Escherichia coli
Lineage: Bacteria; Pseudomonadati; Pseudomonadota; Gammaproteobacteria; Enterobacterales; Enterobacteriaceae
Description: partial 23S ribosomal RNA
Rfam family: Bacterial large subunit ribosomal RNA
Source: RNAcentral